GGGUGGAGGUCACACCGGCAAGAAGCGCAACGGCGGACGCAUUCCUAAAGGCGUUCAGAGAAAAAAUACUGGCGAGGGGAGGUGCACCAAAGCGAGUGAUCUCAGACAACGGCGUACAAUUUACAAGCAGAAAGACGAAACAGACAAAUGGAAAAUAAAGAAGAGAAAUUCAACAUGUCGGCCCGAAAAUUCAAAGAGAGGAUGUCACGGGCCAGCCACAAGAACCGAGCCACAAAACUUCUACCGGACGCCCUCCCGCCCAGCUCAAGAAUGAAAGUAUCGGGGACAAAGGUGUCAGCGCCCAGGAAAG
Drosophila pseudoobscura is the source of this 310-nucleotide long non-coding RNA. RefSeq lists it as uncharacterized. The record is from RefSeq and is a predicted model, not a curated record. NCBI's taxonomy places the organism in Eukaryota, Metazoa, Arthropoda, Insecta, Diptera, Drosophilidae. The transcript is spliced from 2 exons.